AAGGAGGUGAUCCAGCCGCACCUUCCGAUACGGCUACCUUGUUACGACUUCACCCCAAUCAUUCGUCCCACCUUCGGCGGCUGGCUCCAAAAGGUUACCUCACCGACUUCGGGUGUUACGAACUCUCGUGGUGUGACGGGCGGUGUGUACAAGACCCGGGAACGUAUUCACCGCGGCAUGCUGAUCCGCGAUUACUAGCGAUUCCGGCUUCAUGUAGGCGAGUUGCAGCCUACAAUCCGAACUGAGAACGGUUUUAUGGGAUUUGCUUGACCUCGCGGGCUUGCUUCCCUUUGUUCCGUCCAUUGUAGCACGUGUGUAGCCCAGGUCAUAAGGAGCAUGAUGAUUUGACGUCAUCCCCACCUUCCUCCGGUUUGUCACCGGCAGUCACCUUAGAGUGCCCAACUAAAUGCUGGCAACUAAGAUCAAGGGUUGCGCUCGUUGCGGGACUUAACCCAACAUCUCACGACACGAGCUGACGACAACCAUGCACCACCUGUCACUUUGUCCCCGAAGGGAAAGCUCUGUCUCCAGAGGGUUCAAAGGAUGUCAAGACCUGGU
This 558-nucleotide ribosomal RNA is filed under the name Bacillus sp. 6:21. RNAcentral describes it as "partial 16S ribosomal RNA". The record is from RNAcentral. Lineage: Bacteria; Bacillati; Bacillota; Bacilli; Caryophanales; Bacillaceae.